GGGCGUGUGGCCAAGGGGUAUGGCGUCUGCUUUGCAACGCAAAAACUGCAGAAGAUCCAGGGUUCAAAUCCCUGCUCGUCCA
Xylariomycetidae sp. FL0641 is the source of this 82-nucleotide non-coding RNA. The record is from the annotation of a GenBank genome assembly. NCBI's taxonomy places the organism in Eukaryota, Fungi, Ascomycota, Sordariomycetes.